RNAcentral lists this unclassified non-coding RNA (25 nucleotides) under Mus musculus (house mouse). RNAcentral's name for it is "oocyte_clustered_small_RNA13152". Lineage: Eukaryota; Metazoa; Chordata; Mammalia; Rodentia; Muridae. The record is from RNAcentral.
UGGGAUUAAACGUGUGUGACACCAA